GACGAACGCUGGCGGCGUGCCUAAUACAUGCAAGUCGAGCGGAGUUACUUUGAAAGCUUGCUUUCAAAGUAACUUAGCGGCGGACGGGUGAGUAACACGUAGGCAACCUGCCCCUUAGACUGGGAUAACUACCGGAAACGGUAGCUAAUACCGGAUAAUUUCUUUUUUCUCCUGAAGAAAGAAUGAAAGACGGAGCAAUCUGUCACUGAGGGAUGGGCCUGCGGCGCAUUAGCUAGUUGGUGGGGUAACGGCCCACCAAGGCGACGAUGCGUAGCCGACCUGAGAGGGUGAACGGCCACACUGGGACUGAGACACGGCCCAGACUCCUACGGGAGGCAGCAGUAGGGAAUCUUCCGCAAUGGACGAAAGUCUGACGGAGCAACGCCGCGUGAGUGAUGAAGGUUUUCGGAUCGUAAAGCUCUGUUGCCAGGGAAGAACGUCCGGUAGAGUAACUGCUAUCGGAGUGACGGUACCUGAGAAGAAAGCCCCGGCUAACUACGUGCCAGCAGCCGCGGUAAUACGUAGGGGGCAAGCGUUGUCCGGAAUUAUUGGGCGUAAAGCGCGCGCAGGCGGUCAUUUAAGUC
This 584-nucleotide ribosomal RNA is filed under the name uncultured bacterium. RNAcentral describes it as "bacterial SSU rRNA". It matches the Rfam family "Bacterial small subunit ribosomal RNA", at positions 28 to 589 of the family's 1533-position model. The record is from RNAcentral.